RNAcentral lists this ribosomal RNA (385 nucleotides) under uncultured bacterium. RNAcentral describes it as "bacterial SSU rRNA". It matches the Rfam family "Bacterial small subunit ribosomal RNA", at positions 28 to 409 of the family's 1533-position model. The record is from RNAcentral.
GACGAACGCUGGCGGCGUGCUUAAUACAUGCAAGUCAACUGAACUUGAGGUAGCAAUAUCACAAGAGAGGUGGCGCACGGGUGAGUAACACGUAGGUAAUCUGCCUUUAGGUCUGACAUAAUUCCGCGAAAGCGGGACUAAUAUCAGAUGAUGCAGCGGCUCGACAUCGAGACAGUUGUUAAACCUUCGGGGCCGUAAAGAUGAGCCUGCGUCUGAUUAGGUAGUUGGCGGAGUAAAAGCCCACCAAGCCUGCGAUCAGUAGCUGGUCUGAGAGGAUGAUCAGCCACACUGGAACUGAGACACGGUCCAGACUCCUACGGGAGGCAGCAGUAAGGAAUAUUGCUCAAUGGCCGAAGGACUGAAGCAGCAACGCCGCGUGGAGGAU